AUGGCCUCUUGGCCUCUUGGCUCAGAUCAAGGCUAGUAUUUAUUCUCAGCAGUUUUGUAGUUGAUGUAACCUCUGCCAGAGGACAAUAUGUUAAGUGGAGUUUGGAAUUAGAAGCUUACUGUAUUCCAUUCCACUCCUGGACUUGGUAUUAUGGUAAUUCCAUGAACAGUGCAUCCCCU
RNAcentral lists this small nuclear RNA (179 nucleotides) under Erinaceus europaeus (western European hedgehog). Its description in RNAcentral is "U2 spliceosomal RNA". It matches the Rfam family "U2 spliceosomal RNA". Rfam says of the family: U2 is a small nuclear RNA (snRNA) component of the spliceosome (involved in pre-mRNA splicing). The record is from Rfam by way of RNAcentral. Lineage: Eukaryota; Metazoa; Chordata; Mammalia; Eulipotyphla; Erinaceidae.